CGAGCGUGUACCGACGGGAGCUUGCUCCCUUAGGUCAGCGGCGGACGGGUGAGUAACACGUGGGUAACCUGCCUGUAAGACUGGGAUAACUCCGGGAAACCGGGGCUAAUACCGGAUGCUUGAUUGAACCGCAUGGUUCAAUCAUAAAAGGUGGCUUUUAGCUACCACUUACAGAUGGACCCGCGGCGCAUUAGCUAGUUGGUGAGGUAACGGCUCACCAAGGCGACGAUGCGUAGCCGACCUGAGAGGGUGAUCGGCCACACUGGGACUGAGACACGGCCCAGACUCCUACGGGAGGCAGCAGUAGGGAAUCUUCCGCAAUGGACGAAAGUCUGACGGAGCAACGCCGCGUGAGUGAUGAAGGUUUUCGGAUCGUAAAACUCUGUUGUUAGGGAAGAACAAGUACCGUUCGAAUAGGGCGGUACCUUGACGGUACCUAACCAGAAAGCCACGGCUAACUACGUGCCAGCAGCCGCGGUAAUACGUAGGUGGCAAGCGUUGUCCGGAAUUAUUGGGCGUAAAGCGCGCGCAGGCGGUUUCUUAAGUCUGAUGUGAAAGCCCCCGGCUCAACCGGGGAGGGUCAUUGGAAACUGGGGAACUUGAGUGCAGAAGAGGAGAGUGGAAUUCCACGUGUAGCGGUGAAAUGCGUAGAGAUGUGGAGGAACACCAGUGGCGAAGGCGACUCUCUGGUCUGUAACUGACGCUGAGGCGCGAAAGCGUGGGGAGCGAACAGGAUUAGAUACCCUGGUAGUCCACGCCGUAAACGAUGAGUGCUAAGUGUUAGAGGGUUNNCGCCCUUUAGUGCUGCAGCAAACGCAUUAAGCACUCCGCCUGGGGGAGUACGGUCGCAAGACUGAACUCAAGGAAUUGACGGGGGCCCGCACNAGCGGUGGAGCAUGUGGNUUAAUUCGAAGCAAC
This 918-nucleotide ribosomal RNA is filed under the name Bacillus sonorensis. Its description in RNAcentral is "bacterial SSU rRNA". It matches the Rfam family "Bacterial small subunit ribosomal RNA", at positions 63 to 960 of the family's 1533-position model. The record is from RNAcentral. Lineage: Bacteria; Bacillati; Bacillota; Bacilli; Caryophanales; Bacillaceae.